GGCUUAACACAUGCAAGUCGAACGCUCGUGGCAACACGGGAGUGGCAGACGGGUGAGUAACGCGUGGGAACCUACCCUUUUCUACGGAAUAACUGAGGGAAACUUCAGCUAAUACCGUAUACGCCCUACGGGGGAAAGAUUUAUCGGAGAAGGAUGGGCCCGCGUCUGAUUAGCUAGUUGGUGAGGUAACGGCUCACCAAGGCGACGAUCAGUAGCUGGUCUGAGAGGAUGAUCAGCCACAUUGGGACUGAGACACGGCCCAAACUCCUACGGGAGGCAGCAGUGGGGAAUAUUGGACAAUGGGGGCAACCCUGAUCCAGCCAUGCCGCGUGAGUGAUGAAGGCCUUAGGGUUGUAAAGCUCUUUCGUCAGGGAAGAUAAUGACGGUACCUGAAGAAGAAGCCCCGGCUAACUUCGUGCCAGCAGCCGCGGUAAUACGAAGGGGGCUAGCGUUGUUCGGAAUUACUGGGCGUAAAGCGCACGUAGGCGGACAUUUAAGUCAGGGGUGAAAUCCCAGGGCUCAACCCUGGAACUGCCUUUGAUACUGGGUGUCUUGAGUACGAGAGAGGUGAGUGGAAUUCCGAGUGUAGAGGUGAAAUUCG
This 601-nucleotide ribosomal RNA is filed under the name uncultured bacterium. RNAcentral describes it as "bacterial SSU rRNA". It matches the Rfam family "Bacterial small subunit ribosomal RNA", at positions 45 to 690 of the family's 1533-position model. The record is from RNAcentral.